Molecule: ribosomal RNA, 253 nt
Filed under: uncultured bacterium
Lineage: Bacteria
Description: partial 16S ribosomal RNA
Rfam family: Bacterial small subunit ribosomal RNA
Source: RNAcentral
UACGUAGGUGACAAGCGUUGUCCGGAUUUACUGGGCGUAGAGAGCGCGCAGGCGGUCGAUCAAGUCGAGUGUGAAAGCCCCCGGCUCAACUGGGGAGGGUCAUUCGAUACUGAUCGACUCGAAGGCAGGAGAGGGUAGUGGAAUUCCCGGUGUAGUGGUGAAAUGCGCAGAUAUCAGGAAGAACACCCGUGGCGAAGGCGGUUCUCUGGGACGGUACUGACGCUGAGACGCGAAAGCGUGGGGAGCGAACAGG